RNAcentral lists this long non-coding RNA (496 nucleotides) under Centruroides sculpturatus (bark scorpion). RNAcentral describes it as "uncharacterized LOC111635624". Lineage: Eukaryota; Metazoa; Arthropoda; Arachnida; Scorpiones; Buthidae. The record is from RNAcentral.
UAUUAAAUUUCAUGAGAUCAUUUUAUUUCUUUUGCUGUCUCUUCCACGUUCUUGGGGGUGCAAAGUGAGAUCAAGAAGAUCAAUUUUCCUUACGAGUCUUUACCGAUUAAGGAAAACAUAAGUGCUAUAUUCUUAAAAGCAUCAAGUUUCUGUUUUUUGAAGUAGCGUACACGGAUUAAGCUCUAUUUACGUGAGCUGUGGGCUCCAUAGCGUGAAUGAAGCGAGAAGAUUAGUAAAAAAGGAGCCAAGGAAGAAUAAUAAACGAAAGAAUGCGAUAAGCAUGAGAAACUAAAUAUAAAGAACAACGGAUUUUUUUUGAAUGAAUAGAAGUGAAGAAAGAACUGAAAAGUUGAUCGAUAAAAUCACACUCUUGUGCUACUUUUAACGCAUAUAUGUGCUUUUGUAUGUUGAUUUAUUGUCGAGUCUUCCCAAAGAAGUAUUUUUCCUUCAGAAAUCUCUAUCAUGUGAUGAAUGCGGUUUAGGAAUCAGAUUGCAG